GUGAUCCACCUGCCUCAGCCUCCCAAAGUGCUGGGAUGACAGAUGUGAGCCACCGCGCCCGGCCAGCUUAUUGUAACUUCUUUAUAAACUUUCAUGUUUUUCAACUUUUUGACUCUUUUGUCAAAUAAUACUUAGCUUAAAACACAUCAUACAACUGUAUAAAAUAUCCUCUUUAUAUAUUCUAAAGCUUUUUGCCUAUUCUUUAUAUUUAACAUUUUAAAAUUUUAAAACAUUUUUUGAUAAAAAGACAACAUACGUGUGAGCCUGGGCCCACACAGGGACAGUCAUCGACAUUCCUCUCUGCCACCUCUGCACCCCACAGAAAGGCUUCAGGCGCAGUAACCCGCGUGGAGCGCGUCUCCUGUGACCACAAGGUCACCCGCGUGGAGCC
This is a long non-coding RNA of Sapajus apella (tufted capuchin), 391 nucleotides long. RefSeq lists it as uncharacterized. NCBI's taxonomy places the organism in Eukaryota, Metazoa, Chordata, Mammalia, Primates, Cebidae. The transcript is spliced from 3 exons. The record is from RefSeq and is a predicted model, not a curated record.